GGAGGGUACAAGCGUUAAUCGGAAUUACUGGGCGUAAAGCGCGCGUAGGCGGUUAAGUAAGUGGAUGUGAAAGCCCUGGGCUCACCUAGGAACUGCAUUCAAAACUAUUUAACUAGAGUACGAGAGAGGAGAGUAGAAUUUCUGGUGUAGCGGUGAAAUGCGUAGAUAUCAGAAGGAAUACCAAUGGCGAAGGCAGCUCUCUGGAUCGUCACUGACGCUAAGGUGCGAAAGCGUGGGUAGCAAACAGGAUUAGAUACCCUGGUAGUCCACGCCGUAAACGAUGAAAACUAGCCGUUGGGGAGAAUUAACUCUCCAGUGGCGCAGCUAACGCAUUAAGUUCUCCGCCUGGGGACUACGGCCGCAAGGCUAAAACUCAAAUGAAUUGACGGGGGCCCGCACAAGCGGUGGAUCAUGUGGUUUAAUUCGAUGCAACGCGAAGAACCUUACCUACCCUUGAAAUCCAGCGAAGUUCCUAGAGAUAGGAAUGUGCCUUCGGGAACGCUGUGACAGGUGUUGCAUGGCUGUCGUCAGCUCGUGUCGUGAGAUGUAUGGUUAAGUCCAGUAACGAGCGCAACCCCUAUCCUUAUUUGCCAGCGCAUAAUGGCGGGAACUAUAAGGAGACUGCCGGUCAUAAACCGGAGGAAGGCGGGGACGACGUCAAGUCAUCAUGGCCCUUAUGGGUAGGGCUACACACGUGAUACAAUGGGUGGUACAGAGGGUCGCCAAAGCGCGAGCUGGAGCCAAACCCUUAAAACCAUUCUUAGUCCGGAUUGGAGUCUGCAACUCGACUCCAUGAAGUUGGAAUCGCUAGUAAUCGCGAAUCAGAAUGUCGCGGUGAAUACGUUCUCGGGCCUU
This 855-nucleotide ribosomal RNA is filed under the name uncultured organism. RNAcentral's name for it is "bacterial SSU rRNA". It matches the Rfam family "Bacterial small subunit ribosomal RNA", at positions 527 to 1382 of the family's 1533-position model. The record is from RNAcentral.